GAUGAACGCUGGCGGUAUGCUUAACACAUGCAAGUCGAACGGACUCUUCGGAGUUAGUGGCGGACGGGUGAGUAACGCGUGAGAAUCUGGCUUUGGGUUCGGGACAACCACUGGAAACGGUGGCUAAUACCGGAUGUGCCGAGAGGUAAAAGAGAAAUUGCCUGAAGAUGAGCUCGCGUCUGAUUAGCUAGUUGGUGAGGUAAAGGCUCACCAAGGCAGCGAUCAGUAGCUGGUCUGAGAGGAUGACCAGCCACACUGGGACUGAGACACGGCCCAGACUCCUGCGGGAGGCAGCAGUGGGGAAUUUUCCGCAAUGGGCGAAAGCCUGACGGAGCAAUACCGCGUGAGGGAAGAAGGCUCUUGGGGUGUAAACCUCUUUUCUUAGGGAAGAACAAAAUGACGGUACCUAAUGAAUCAGCAUCGGCUAACUCCGUG
RNAcentral lists this ribosomal RNA (435 nucleotides) under uncultured bacterium. RNAcentral describes it as "partial 16S ribosomal RNA". It matches the Rfam family "Bacterial small subunit ribosomal RNA", at positions 28 to 507 of the family's 1533-position model. The record is from RNAcentral.